ACGUCUGUGAUUGGCGCUCGAUGAAUAUCGUGAACCGAGGAGAGUCACGGACGGUAUCGAUUCGAUUAUCGAACGGGCAUAUCGAAAAAGUGCAAGUUCGUUGGGUGGAUGAUCGCCGCGGUGUCGCCGAAUCGAACGUUUCCCGCGGUUCAACAAACAGCACAGCCCUUUCGGAGCACAUCAAUGAAAAACGAUGUGCGUCCGAACAAGCUAAGGAAUACCACCUCCACCUUCCACCUCCGCGCACUGUCCUAAUCCCUGAGCUGUCCUGAUCGUCGUCGCCGACGAGCGUACCGCGUAUAUCGCGCACGCCGACUAAUUUUCGGGACGAACUUUCCGGUUCGGUGUCUUGUAUUGGACUGUGCAGAAGUGGCACCUUCCAGUUUCUGAACUUACAUCUUGUCAGAACUAUAUCCUCUGAAUCGAAGCACGGUCGACCUUUCUUCGUUUCCAACGCAUCGAUCGGUAAAAACUGGACCAAGUUUCUCGCUGAGUGGAGGGUGAUUCGGAAACGAAACUCAAGGAGAUCCCGAACUUUCAUUAAGCGUGCGCGAAAAGAAACAGAGAAGCGAACGAGAGUCUCAAGGAUGGCGAAAGGAGGAGCUGCAUUGGCGUGGAGAUUGAGAAAUUUUCAAAUUUCAAAUACACGGUCCGCUCUACUCUCAUCAUAUUCUCUUUUCAUAUCAAACGAACACUGUAUCCUUUUUUCCUCGGUAUUCUACUUUUCUCUUUUCUCUGGUUCGUUCUCCUUCAAGUAAUGAUAUUAAAACAAGCAACGAUGCUAUCACGCGAUAAUGUUGUAUCGUCUGGAAAUGCAGCAAGGUUUCUUCUCUUUUCGAUAUCUCCGGGAAACAGGUGCGCGCAUUCCCGCGCCAUUUUUCAUACGGAUUUUCAUCCUCAAGGACGACGAAAGGCUGUUCAACCCUUUUCUGUAUCAAAACCAACAUAUAGAGUGUCGUCUAAAAAGCAACGUUUAAAAAUCAUUUAAAACAAUUACAUAUUAUUUUCAGUAGUUCCUUUUUAAAUAAUCAGAAAGCAAAAUAUUUAUAAUUGCAAGUGAAAUUAUUUUCAAACAGUAAAUACCAAUGGGUGCUGUUUCAUCCUUUUGCACCCUCGUCUGAUCUGUUAUUCCCUACUAAAUUCUGAACACGAUUUUCUAUAAUCUUUUAUCUAGUUAUCCACUGCAAAAUCAUAGAAAAGAGGAUGAAAAAGACUGGAGGCUCCGUUGGUACCGGGGACAAGGAUGAAGCACGACGGAAAGGGAGAGCAAGAGGAGAGAAAAAGAGAGUCGCAUGGACGAGGAGUGAAACGUUGGGAGGCAAAUGGGGAGGGAUGAGAGAGGGAGAUGAAAGAAGGGUAGAAAGAGAGAAGGAUAGAUGUAUGGAGGGGCGAAGAGAGGAGAAAUUUCUCGAUCAAAUAAACGCGUUUCGCGGCGCGGGAGAUCGCGACCACGCCCUGUCUUCUUCCCUGCCGACGGCCUUCCGGCGACUUUUCGAGCCGCAGAGACGCGGAGAAAGGAAGAUCACGGUGAACACGCGUCCUCUAUGCUGGUUGCGCGUGCACCAGAUCGUGAAGCUUAAGGAACGUGUUAGAAAAUCAAGGGGUUGAAACCCUUGUUCGAUACUUUGGAAGGAUUAGAACUUGUCUCUGAAAAGGAACAACUUUCGAAAUAUAAGUCUUUUACUUUGUACCUUCGGUUGAGAUUUGAAGAAGUAAGACUGCAUCCCCGGAUAUUCCGGUUGAUCCGAAGGGUUCCACUAACGAGCCGUGCCGGUGCGAGCAGCGUAAUUACAGGGCGUGGCGGAUGUGGCGCCAAUGCUUGGCAAAUACUUCGCCUCUGGAAAUGAAAUUAAUCUGUAUUAAAAGGGACGCUAGUCGAUAACUAAUGCCAAGAAGAAUCUCGUAGCACCCAGUCAAGUUUUCUCUAAUUUUUAAUUGAAAAUAAUUUUCGAAGGAGAUCCACGCGGCACCAAAUAAUUUCAUCCGCAACGCCAGGCUCGUAAAUCCGUCCAGGUUUACCAGAAACACGCUUCUCAAUUCGUCGAGAGGUAUCUGUCGAUCGGUUCGCGAUACGCGUAUCCGUUGGUCGCCGGCUCGAGCGGACCAGGUCCGAUCUCAAAAACGACCUCGAUUUCUAGCGACGCGACGUAUCGUGACGCGGGAUCUCGCGAAGGCCGCGCCGCUACCGUAAGAGACCCGGAAUCGAUCGUACUACUUGUAGAGAUCCUCGAUCGAAACGCAGAUUUUUACCUUGUCCUGCCGCGAAAACACGUGUCUUCUAAUUUAAUUAAUUUUGGAAAUUAAUUAGAAAAAUUCUAAAUGCAUUCUAACUCCGUUUUCCAUGGACCCGGAAUCGAUCGUACUACUUGUAGAGAUCCUCGAUCAAAACGGAGAUUUUUACCCCAUCUCGCCGCGGGAACACGUGUCUUCUUAUUUAAUCAAUUCUGGAAAUUAAUUAGAAAAAUUCUAAAUGAAUUCUAACUCCGUUUGCCAUAGACCCGGAAUCGAUCGUACCACUUGUAGAGAUCCUCGAUCGAAACGGAGAUUUUUACCCCAUCUUGCCGCGAAAACACGUGUCUUCUUAUUUAAUUAAUUUUGGAAAUUAAUUAGAAAAAUUCUAAAUGAAUUCUAACUCCGUUAUCCAUGGAUCCAGAAUCGAUCGUACCACUCGUAGAGAUCCUCGAUCAAAAUGGAGAUUUUAACCCCGUCUUGCCGCGGAAACACGUGUCUUCUUAUUUAAUCAAUUUUGGAAAUUAAUUAGAAAAAUUCUAAAUGAAUUCUAACUCCGUUUUCCAUGGAAUUCGUUUAGCAGACUUUUGGAUGCACUAAUCGAUGCAACUCGAAGAUGCAUUUUGCAUCGGUUAAUGGUCCCUGUGCGUGGUCCGUUGGUGCAGCUAAUUGCUGUUUGACGAGAGAACGCGUUUAUCGUCCCUCUGUGCUCUCGUUCGCCUCGUUUUGAGAUCGCUGGGAUAAAAGCACGUUCACGCUUACCACCGAUGCAGUUUGCUAGAUUUCGACCUGGCUGAUUGCAACGGGGUGGCGAUCGUUCCUUUUCAUCUGUUUGUUUAAUGCAAUUGAAAGAUAGGGUUGAUUGAUAUCGGUAGGAUUAACGAGAUCUAAAAGGGGAAUUGUAUCUUUAUUUCUUUAGGCUGAUUCCUCGUCGUAAAACAAAAGCCGUGCCCGUGAAUUGUGUUUCUGUACACGAUUCCGAGAAUAAAGAACGUUCACCAGGGAAUUUCGUUCGUGUUCCUUAAAAGCCAACCUCCACGGAUCAUUAUCAGAACCGAGGACAGCUAUCGAGCCGACCUUCGAGUUUUUACGUUCGCGGAUUAUAUUAUAGCGCUUCUCACGUUUCUCGAUACGCGGAGCCUGGAAAGAGCUACCUGGCCGAGGCCAUCUCCUCGAUUAUACACGGUGUCCCGAUGGCCGAUUUUAUCACCCGAAAUUCGUUAUCUAUAUCCCCUGGAUAUUUACGUAAUUUAUAAAAUAUGAAAAUUUACGAGAGUCAUAAUUGAAUAUCGAAACCAUCCGUGGUAUUUAUAAAUGAGAAUUCUAACUAUUUUUCUAAAAUUAUUAACCUACUUUGAUAACGAGCGUAAUUAACCGAUUUAUUCGACCAAUUAAUUACCUACGUAUAAAUUGAUAAGUAAGAAGUAUUACAUCUAUUUCCUUCGAAAAACAUCCGUGUAUAAUCGUUCCAUAACCAGCUCCAGUUGGAUCCUCAAAGAUUUCAUUAAAAAGAGAUAAAUCUUCCGGCUGUCAAAUGGCCGAUCGAUGGACAGUCAGAAAAUAGAAGGCAAGGUGAAACGAGAUAAUCCCCAUUAAGUCUGACGUUUAAUACCUGGCCUCGAUGUGUCCGCCGUUGACCCCACCAUGGAACCACAGGAACCGCCGGUACGAUCUCGAUGAAAAACAUUCUCUCCAAUUUGACCGAUUAAUCAGGCAAAGAACCCUGUUAUUUAAACUUUGAUACUUCUUCUGAAAAACGCCGCCGGGUAAAUAAAAGGAGAUACGAGGAGGCAGGAAUUUUACUCGCGCGUCAACUUAUUUUAUCAUUUCCCGGCAAAGGAUUCGCCGUGUUUUCGACCGAGAGAGUCGACGAUAUUAAUCGCGAUAAUCCGGCCGUCCGCGAGGGCAAUAACGAACACUGUUUAUAGAGGAGCCAGCAUAUCCCGGGUACUCGCCAUAUUGUAAGCCCGAAUUACUGUAAACGCGUUUAACUCUCCGCGCCACGAAACGCGCCGAUCCUCCGCUAAUUCCUCCACCGGUUUCCCUUGUAUCCGAUUACCCCGUCGAGCUCGGAUGGUUCGAAACAAAUUUCGGGCAGUUCGUAAAAUUAAAAUACAUAAGGGUAAAAAUGUGCCCGACGAUAAUUUGCCUAAAUCGCUUGUUUCAACAUCGGGAUCAUGAAAAAAGAAGAAGAAUAAGAAAAUAUGUAAGCGCUUCUUCUGUGAUCAAAGGCACCCUCAUAAUUAAGUACCAUAUUUGAAUAUUCCUUAAGGGGCUAUACCAGUGUAACACUUUUGAAAAAUCGAUUUUUUUUUGCAUUUUUUGAAAGUCUAUACUCUCUAGAAUAUCAUAUUAAAAUUUUAAGGUCGAAUCUCAAAUAAUUUAGGAAUGGCAACGUUCUAAAGAGUAACUGCUGGCAUGUCAGAAACGCGCUUAUCGCCGAUGGAUCGCGUUUUUCUCAAAUUUGCUGCAGCUCUAACUCGAAUACAAAUUAUUGCAUCGACUCGAAACUUCUUCAGCGUGUUCAGUACAUGUUUUGCCAUGCCAUGAAUUAGAAUUUUUUUGAUUGGAUGAAAAAUGCCAGUUUGGCAUUAAAAAAACUACGAUUUUUUGAAGCUAAAUUCCAAACACUUCUUCAAAACUUCGCCAUUUCGUCAGAUUUUGAUAUUUUUCAAAAAUCCUAGUUCAUGGUACGGAGAAAAGCUUCUAGUUUAACAUCGUCUUUGUCAUUUUUCAUUUUAAGCACUCAGACGGCGGCAAUCACUGCAGCAGUGGAGCAACUUUUUUUUUUUUC
Non-coding RNA from Osmia lignaria (orchard mason bee), 5023 nucleotides. The record is from RefSeq and is a predicted model, not a curated record. Lineage: Eukaryota; Metazoa; Arthropoda; Insecta; Hymenoptera; Megachilidae.